UUUAAAUUAAGAGAAAAGAAAGAAAGAAAUAAAAAAGAAAAAAGAGCUGGCCUUCGGCUUUGUUUCUUCUUCAUUGUGCUUGAAUUAUAAAAGGAGGAAUCAGGGUGUUGCAGCUCAUUUGCACUCCAGGCUUUCCUUCCUUGCCCGUGUAGAAAUAUUUAAGCCUGACAAAUACUUUUAGGAAAAAUUGUGUAAAUGUCCUAAAAAAACAAACCUCAUGUGGCCCACCCUCUUAUACUUUUCCCUAUAUUGUUUAGCUCCAAAAGACCCAACAAAAUAUGACAUAAGCCCAAAAGCCUAUAAGUAUACAUGUAUUUGAUGUAUUUGUGCUCUUUCGAAAUUGCCCUCUUCUCAUGAAAACUCAUCCCCAAAAGAUCAUAACUGAUCCUUCCUCCUAUUCUCCUCUGCUCCUCUCCUCCUCUCCCCUAACCUACUUUUCUCCUCUAUCUCCCUCUUACUCUUCUUACCCUUCGGCCCCGAUGUUUUCCUCUCUCGCCUCCUCCUCCUCCGCCACCGAGUGUACCCACCAGCCCUCUCAUCUUAGACAAGCGUUGAAAGCUAUUUGAGUUUUGGUGUAAUUAUAAUUCUUAGUUUAAAUAAUACUAUUCAAAAUAGUUAUAUUAUCUAUAUGUUAUAAAAUAUUUAUCUAAUUUAAUUUUUUAAUUAUUCUCAUAAAUAACUUAGUACUAUAAAUUUUUUAUAAAUUUUUACUGUGCUAAAUAUUAACAAUUUAUAGUAUUAUUUUUAAUAUUAAAUAAUUUUUUUAGAAAAAAGGCUAGUUUCCAAUCAUUACCAACUAUAGAUUAUUCAGUAUCAUGUAAUAGUCUUUGA
This is a long non-coding RNA of Asparagus officinalis (garden asparagus), 831 nucleotides long. RefSeq lists it as uncharacterized. The record is from RefSeq and is a predicted model, not a curated record. Lineage: Eukaryota; Viridiplantae; Streptophyta; Magnoliopsida; Asparagales; Asparagaceae. The transcript is spliced from 3 exons.